This is a long non-coding RNA of Gadus morhua (Atlantic cod), 1851 nucleotides long. RefSeq lists it as uncharacterized. The transcript is spliced from 2 exons. The record is from RefSeq and is a predicted model, not a curated record. Lineage: Eukaryota; Metazoa; Chordata; Actinopteri; Gadiformes; Gadidae.
UUUAAGUUUAUUUAAAUUGUACCUGAGUGUACUUAGAAAAAGUAUACUAAAUUGCAAAUACUUAUAGUGGUAAUUUAGUGUACUUAUAAAAAGUGUACUUUAUUGUAAGUGUAUUGUAAUUUGUACCUAAGUGUACUUCUGAAAAGUACACUCAUUUUCAAGUAUUUUGGAAUUCACUAUUAAAUUACUUUUUUAAAGCGUAAUUUAAUUUCACUUCAUUAGAAGUGUAUUGAAGUAUACUUCCGUAAAGUUCACUUUAAUUUAAGUUUAAUUUAAUUUUAAGCUGUAUUUCAGUAUACUUAGAAAAAGUAUACUAAGUUGCACAUACGUAUUUUAGUGUACUUCUGAAAAGUACACUUUGUUUCAAGUCCUUUGUAAUACACUAUUAAAAUGCUUUAUUAAAGUAUACUUAAAUUUCCCUUUAUUAGUAGUGUAUUUAAGUAUACUUCCUUACAGUUCACUUUAAUGCAAGUUAAUUUUAAGCUGUAUUUCAGUGUACUUAGAAAAAGUAUACUAAAUUGCAAAAACUUAUAGUUGUCAUUCAGUGUGAUUCUGAAAAGUACACUUAGUAAUACACUAUUAAAAUGCUUUAUUUUUAGUAUACUUUAAUUUCACUUCAUUAGAAGUUUAUAUAAGUAUAUUUCCAUAAAUUCCACUUGUAAGUUGAUGGAAUGGGUUAUUUCAUACAUCAUCACAACCAAAGUGUUGAAUUAAUCAAGAAAUUACAGAUAAAUAAUACUGAAAUGGCUACUUUUACUAGCUCCAACGACUAACUAUUAAAGAAAAUGCAAUAAUGAGGGCUACACCAAGGUUGCUCCUCAGUAGCUUUAUUAUAUAUGUUAUAUAUGUCAGACGUUUUAAAGUUAGGUGUUGUUGAAUGUAUGUUUGUAUUAAUAUUUAAAUUAAAGUUUUGGUUUGUACAAUUUAAGUGUUUUUUGUCAUGGAACAAAAUAGCACCCAUGGAGUGUACAAAAUGGUACCAGAAAGAAGUGCAUGUGAAGUAUAAUAGUGAUGUAUUGUAAGUAUAUUUCUGUAGUAUUUAUAAAGUACUUAGCAGUAUAACAGUAUUGUACUUAAAAUACCCUUAAUAUACGCUUCCACUUUACAUUAUAUUAUAAUAACUAUACUUUAAGUACAUGCCUUUGAUGCUUAAAUUGUGAUAAAAAUGUACUAUAAAUCAAUAUUAAAUACUUGUAUUAACAUAAUUGUCAUGGCCACUGUUGUGGUGCUGUGUAUUCUGCCCCUGUGUUGGCCACGCCCCCUGUCUGUCUCUGCCUUGCCUGCCACUCAACUGCUCACAUACACGUGGUUUCCCUGCAGUCAUCGCCAGAUCGUACUUCGUGUUACCGUGUUUUUGGAUUGUCACCUCCAGCCUGCAGUCUUCACUCCCUCCAGCCCGAUACGCCCCAGUCCAACCAACCUCCUGCUUCACUCCUAGCUGAACUAAAUAAACCUGUUCACCGUCACUCCAACUCCUGUCCUGUCUCCUGCUCUUGGGUCCAGCAGCUAACGCUACCCUAACAAUAAUGGCACACUUAAAAAGUACUAAAUAUAGUCAGAAUGUGUAUUAGCUUCUCUGCGGUGCACAGCUAGCAGGGUAGUGCUAGCACAGCUUUUGUUUAUCUUUAUUUUUCCCUUUUAUUAUUGUUAUUUAGUUAACUUGUUAAAGAGUGUGACUAAAAAUAAUUCUCUGGGGUCAGAUGAUCCAAAUUUGAAUAUAAAUGUUACGAUGAAGAGAAACUGUUUGAAAAUGUUGUUUAAGAUGUUGUUAAAGAUGUAUUUAAAUGUACUUUAUUAUGCACAUUUUCCCUGUCAUGCCGUGCAUGUUAAAAAUAAACUUUUCUACCUCAA